RNAcentral lists this ribosomal RNA (497 nucleotides) under uncultured bacterium. RNAcentral's name for it is "partial 16S ribosomal RNA". It matches the Rfam family "Bacterial small subunit ribosomal RNA", at positions 28 to 507 of the family's 1533-position model. The record is from RNAcentral.
GAUGAACGCUGGCGGCGUGCCUAAUACAUGCAAGUCGAGCGAACGGACGAGAAGCUUGCUUCUCUGAUGUUAGCGGCGGACGGGUGAGUAACACGUGGAUAACCUACCUAUAAGACUGGGAUAACUUCGGGAAACCGGAGCUAAUACCGGAUAAUAUUUUGAACCGCAUGGUUCAAAAGUGAAAGAAGGUCUUGCUGUCACUUAUAGAUGGAUCCGCGCUGCAUUAGCUAGUUGGUAAGGUAACGGCUUACCAAGGCAACGAUGCAUAGCCGACCUGAGAGGGUGAUCGGCCACACGGGAACUGAGACACGGUCCAGACUCCUACGGGAGGCAGCAGUAGGGAAUCUUCCGCAAUGGGCGAAAGCCUGACGGAGCAACGCCGCGUGAGUGAUGAAGGUCUUCGGAUCGUAAAACUCUGUUAUUAGGGAAGAACAUAUGUGUAAGUAACUGUGCACAUCUUGACGGUACCUAAUCAGAAAGCCACGGCUAACUACGUG